GCCGCUAUAGCUCAGUUGGUAGAGCACCGCAUUCGUAAUGCGUAGGUCGGGUGUUCGAGUCACCCUAGCGGCACCA
RNAcentral lists this transfer RNA (76 nucleotides) under Sneathiella sp. RNAcentral's name for it is "tRNA-Thr". It matches the Rfam family "tRNA". Rfam says of the family: Transfer RNA (tRNA) molecules are approximately 80 nucleotides in length. Their secondary structure includes four short double-helical elements and three loops (D, anti-codon, and T loops). Further hydrogen bonds mediate the characteristic L-shaped molecular structure. tRNAs have two regions of fundamental functional importance: the anti-codon, which is responsible for specific mRNA codon recognition, and the 3' end, to which the tRNAs corresponding amino acid is attached (by aminoacyl-tRNA synthetases). tRNAs cope with the degeneracy of the genetic code in two manners: having more than one tRNA (with a specific anti-codon) for a particular amino acid; and 'wobble' base-pairing, i.e. permitting non-standard base-pairing at the 3rd anti-codon position. Lineage: Bacteria; Pseudomonadati; Pseudomonadota; Alphaproteobacteria; Sneathiellales; Sneathiellaceae. The record is from RNAcentral.